Molecule: long non-coding RNA, 2134 nt
Organism: Oncorhynchus keta (chum salmon)
Lineage: Eukaryota; Metazoa; Chordata; Actinopteri; Salmoniformes; Salmonidae
Exons: 4
Source: RefSeq, a predicted model, not a curated record
ACUCUCUGUUUAGGGCAAGUCACUGUGUACUCUCUGUUUAGGGCCAGUCACUGUGUACUCUCUGUUUAGGGCCAGUCACUGUGUACUCUCUGUUUAGGGCCAGUCACUGUGUACUCUCUGUUUAGGGCCAGUCACAGUGGACAGGUAUUCUGGGCCAGUCACAGUGGACAGGUAGUCUGCCACUGUGUACUCUCUGUUUAGGGCCAGUCACAGUGGACAGGUAUUCUGCCACUGUGUACUCUCUGUUUAGAGCCAGUCACAGUGGACAGGUAUUCUGGGCCAGUCACAGUGGACGGGUAUUCUGCCACUGUGUACUCUCUGUUUAGGGCCAGUCACAGUGGACAGGUAUUCUGGGCCAGUCACAGUGGACAGGUAUUCUGCCACUGUGUACUCUCUGUUUAGGGCCAGUCACAGUGGACAGGUAUUCUGGGCCAGUUGUGUACUCUCUGUUUAGGGCCAGUCACAGUGGACAGGUAUUCUGGGCCAGUCACAGUGGACAGGUAUUCUGGGCCAGUCACAGUGGACAGGUAUUCUGCCACUGUGUACUCUCUGUUUAGGGCCAGUCACAGUGGACAGGUAUUCUGCCACUGUGUACUCUCUGUUUAGGGCCAGUCACAGUGGACAGUUAUUCUGGGCCAGUCACAGUGGACAGGUAUUCUGGGCCAGUCACAGUGGACAGGUAUUCUGCCACUGUGUACUCUCUGUUUAGGGCCAGUCACAGUGGACAGGUAUUCUGGGCCAGUCACAGUGGACAGGUAUUCUGCCACUGUGUACUCUCUGUUUAGGGCCAGUCACAGUGGACAGGUAUUCUGGGCCAGUCACAGUGGACAGGUAUUCUGCCACUGUGUACUCUCUGUUUAGGGCCAGUCACAGUGGACAGGUAUUCUGGGCCAGUCACAGUGGACAGGUAUUCUGGGCCAGUCACAGUGGACAGGUAUUCUGCCACUGUGUACUCUCUGUUUAGGGCCAGUCACAGUGGACAGGUAUUCUGCCACUGUGUACUCUCUGUUUAGGGCCAGUCACAGUGGACAGGUAUUCUGCCACUGUGUACUCUCUGUUUAGGGCCAGUCACAGUGGACAGGUAUUCUGCCACUGUGUACUCUCUGUUUAGGGCCAGUCACAGUGGACAGGUGUUCUGCCACUGUGUACUCUCUGUUUAGGGCCAGUCACAGUGGACAGGUAUUCUGCCACUGUGUACUCUCUGUUUAGGGCCAGUCACAGUGGACAGGUAUUCUGCCACUGUGUACUCUCUAUUUAGGGCCAGUCACAGUGGACAGGUAUUCUGCCACGGUGCACUCUCUGUUUAGGGCCAGUCACAGUGGACAGGUAUUCUGCCACUGUGUACUCUCUGUUUAGGGCCAGUCACAGUGGACAGGUAUUCUGCCACUGUGUACUCUCUGUUUAGGGCCAGUCACAGUGGACAGGUAUUCUGCCACUGUGUACUCUCUGUUUAGGGCCAGUCACAGUGGACAGGUAUUCUGCCACUGUGUACUCUCUGUUUAGGGCCAGUCACAGUGGACAGGUAUUCUGCCACUGUGUACUCUCUGUUUAGGGCCAAAUAGCAUUCAAAUAGUUUGCUCUGUGUUUUGGUAAAUUCUUUCCAAUGUGUCAAGUAAUUAUCUUUUUGUUUUCUCAUGAUUUGGUUGGGUCUAAUUGUGUUGCUGUCCUGGGGCUCUGUGGGGUCUCUUUGUGAACAGAGCCCCAGGACCAGCUUGCUUAGGGGACUCUUCUCCAGGUUCAUCUCUCUGUAGGUGAUGGCUUUGUUAUGGAAGGUUUGGGAAUCGCUUCCUUUUAGGUGGUUGUAGAAUUGAAAAGCUUUUUUCUGGUCUCAGCCUAGUUCUGCUCUGCAUUUGGUGUUUUACGUUGUACAAGGAGGAUAUUUUAUUAUCAAAAUAAUGCAUGCAGUCUCAAUUUGGUGUUUGUCCCAUUUUGUGAAUUCUUGGUUGGUGAGUGGGCCCCAGACCUCACAACCAUAAAGGGCAAUGGGUUCUUUAACUGAUUCAAUUAUUUUUAGCCAAAUCUUAAUUGGAUGUCGAACUUGAUGUUCCUUUUGAUGGUAUAGAAUCCCUUCUUGCCUUGUCUCUCAGAUCGUGCACAGCUUUGUGGAAGUUACCUCGCUCCCUCCCUCCCUUUU